CUGGGACACAGAGGGGGCUCCGAGACCGGGAUUGAUUCGGGCUGAAAAGUCUUCUGUCUUCUGCCAAGGAAAUAUUUAUCUGACGAAGACAAUGUCAUAUUUCCUCAGUAUAACGCCAAGUGAGACCAGCUGCUUCUAACAAACAGCAGAGCAAUUUUAAGGCAGAGACACCGAGCCACUAGAGCAAACAGUUUGAGGCCUAUUGGGCAUCUUUACAGAAAGCUGAAGACUCAUCAACAGAAAUACUUCAUGUUUGAGAAGGACACCUUGCGUUGAUUGUUUUUGGAGAAAUUUAAGAACAAAACUUACAGACUGUUUAGAUGAAGCUUAUUAUUGCAGCCAUUCAAUUUGCAAAUUACAUACAUGGCAGGAUGACAGAACCUCAUUGCCAAGGUGCCGUCACGACUUUGAUGAAAAACGAUGGAAGCAUUUCUUAGCAGGAAAAAGUGGACUGUCGCAGUGAGUAUUUCCAUGCUUCAAGUCAAUAAAAUGUAUAUGUAUUGUUUACUAAUAGUGUAAAAAUUAGGCCAUCUCUGUAUAUUGAUGGAUUCUUUUUAAGAGGGGUGGAAGGUUUGAUG
This is a non-coding RNA of Chiloscyllium plagiosum (whitespotted bambooshark), 578 nucleotides long. The record is from RefSeq and is a predicted model, not a curated record. Lineage: Eukaryota; Metazoa; Chordata; Chondrichthyes; Orectolobiformes; Hemiscylliidae.